This 449-nucleotide ribosomal RNA is filed under the name uncultured bacterium. RNAcentral describes it as "partial 16S ribosomal RNA". It matches the Rfam family "Bacterial small subunit ribosomal RNA", at positions 29 to 523 of the family's 1533-position model. The record is from RNAcentral.
AGCGAACGCUGGCGGCAGGCCUAACACAUGCAAGUCGAACGAACUCUUCGGAGUUAGUGGCGGACGGGUGAGUAACACGUGGGAACGUGCCUUUAGGUUCGGAAUAACUCAGGGAAACUUGUGCUAAUACCGAAUGUGCCCUUCGGGGGCAAGAUUUAUCGCCUUUAGAGCGGCCCGCGUCUGAUUAGCUAGUUGGUGAGGUAAAGGCUCACCAAGGCGACGAUCAGUAGCUGGUCUGAGAGGAUGAUCAGCCACAUUGGGACUGAGACACGGCCCAAUCUCCUACGGGAGGCAGCAGUGGGGAAUCUUGCGCAAUGGGCGAAAGCCUGACGCAGCCAUGCCGCGUGAAUGAUGAAGGUCUUAGGAUUGUAAAAUUCUUUCACCGGGGACGAUAAUGACGGUACCCGGAGAAGAAGCCCCGGCUAACUUCGUGCCAGCCGCCGCCGUAA